RNAcentral lists this long non-coding RNA (254 nucleotides) under Lathyrus oleraceus (garden pea). RNAcentral describes it as "Pisum sativum (pea) long non-coding RNA (PSAT_LNC035744)". Lineage: Eukaryota; Viridiplantae; Streptophyta; Magnoliopsida; Fabales; Fabaceae. The record is from RNAcentral.
UCGUUCUUUUCAUGAUUAUCAACGCUCAAGACACUACCAUUAGUGAUCUGCGUGAAACCUAAAAAAUUUCUAUUAUAAUGACAUUCUGAUAUCUAUAAAUGAUAAAGAAACGGUAUGAAGCGCUUGAAACUAUCUACAUCCUCCACUUUAAAUUUUUCCAUUAGGAGUUCUCUAUGAUGAAUUGCAAGUGCAGAAAAUUAUUUGGGUUUAAGGUUUGUGUUUUUAAAUAUUCAAUUGAGCAGAAAAUCAUUUAC